This 109-nucleotide ribosomal RNA is filed under the name uncultured bacterium. RNAcentral describes it as "partial 16S ribosomal RNA". It matches the Rfam family "Bacterial small subunit ribosomal RNA", at positions 1373 to 1482 of the family's 1533-position model. The record is from RNAcentral.
CCCGGGCCUUGUACACACCGCCCGUCACACCAUGGGAGUCGACUGCUCCAGAAGUGGCUGUCCUAACCCGCAAGGGGGAGGUCCCAAGGAGUGGUCGGUAACUGGGGUG